Spinacia oleracea (spinach) is the source of this 68-nucleotide non-coding RNA. The record is from Rfam. Lineage: Eukaryota; Viridiplantae; Streptophyta; Magnoliopsida; Caryophyllales; Amaranthaceae.
AUGGGUGAUGAGUUUAUCAAUUACCCCUUCAAGAAUUCAUGGGUGAUGUAAACUCGAGAUCUUGCUCA